This 73-nucleotide transfer RNA is filed under the name Stegodyphus mimosarum. It matches the Rfam family "tRNA". Rfam says of the family: Transfer RNA (tRNA) molecules are approximately 80 nucleotides in length. The record is from Rfam by way of RNAcentral. Lineage: Eukaryota; Metazoa; Arthropoda; Arachnida; Araneae; Eresidae.
GCUUUCGUGGUGUAGUGGUCAGCACGGUUGGCUCGUAUUCGAGAGGUCCGGGGUUCGAGUCCUGGCGAGGGCA